Pseudonaja textilis is the source of this 220-nucleotide non-coding RNA. The record is from RefSeq and is a predicted model, not a curated record. Lineage: Eukaryota; Metazoa; Chordata; Lepidosauria; Squamata; Elapidae.
CAAUAAACAGUCCAUGUCAUACACAUUUUUAACAGUCCAGAAAUAUCCAGUUAUAAACUCUUACCAGUUUCACAUCUUAUACAGCAGACAAAUAUCAAACCAUAAUAUAACAGAUAACCUUCGAUAUCAACAGAAUAUCAAAAUAAACAUGCUUAAUCAAUAUCAGUCCAUAGUCAGUCAGUAUCAAUAUCAAGAGAGAUCAUCAGCAACAGAGAACAAU